This is a ribosomal RNA of Cricetulus griseus (Chinese hamster), 131 nucleotides long. The record is from Ensembl. Lineage: Eukaryota; Metazoa; Chordata; Mammalia; Rodentia; Cricetidae.
CAUGGCCACGCUACCUGAAGGUACCAGAUCUUAUCUGAUCUCUGAAGCUAAGCAGGGUCAGGCCUGGCUAGCAUUUGGAUGGGAGACAAAAGUAAUCCCAACCAUCCCUCAAAGGAGAAAGGACGCCCUGC